Molecule: ribosomal RNA, 483 nt
Filed under: uncultured bacterium
Lineage: Bacteria
Description: partial 16S ribosomal RNA
Rfam family: Bacterial small subunit ribosomal RNA
Source: RNAcentral
GACGAACGCUGGCGGCGUGCUUUACACAUGCAAGUCGAACGGUGAAGGUGGAGCUUGCUCCGCCGGAUCAGUGGCGAACGGGUGAGUAACACGUGGGCAACCUGCCCCUAACUUUGGGAUAACUACUCGAAAGAGUAGCUAAUACCGGAUAUGAAGUCUGUAGGCAUCUAUGGAUUUGGAAAGUUUUUCGGUUAGGGAUGGGCCCGCGGCCUAUCAGCUUGUUGGUGAGGUAGUGGCUCACCAAGGCGACGACGGGUAGCCGGCCUGAGAGGGCGACCGGCCACACUGGGACUGAGACACGGCCCAGACUCCUACGGGAGGCAGCAGUGGGGAAUAUUGCGCAAUGGGCGAAAGCCUGACGCAGCAACGCCGCGUGCGGGAUGAAGGCCUUCGGGUUGUGAACCGCUUCCAGCAGGGAAGAAGCGAAAGUGACGGUACCUGCAGAAGAAGCACCGGCUAACUACGUGCCAGCCGCCGCAGUAA